ACUCCUACGGGAGGCAGCAGUGGGGGAAUAUUGCACAAUGGGCGCAAGCCUGAUGCAGCCAUGCCGCGUGUGUGAAAGAAGGCCUUCGGGUUGUAAAAGCACUUUUCAGUCGUGAGGAAGGUAGUGUAGUUAAUAGCUGCAUUAAUUUGACGUUAGCGACAGAAGAAGCACCGGCUAACUCCGUGCCAGCAGCCGCGGUAAUACGGAGGGUGCGAGCGUUAAUCGGAAUUACUGGGCGUAAAGCGCAUGCAGGUGGUUUAGUUCAAGGUCAAGAUGUGAAAAGCCCGGGGCUCAACCUCGGAAUUGCAUUUGAAACUGGCAGACUAGAGUACUGGUAGAGGGGGGUAGAAUUUCAGGUGUAGCGGUGAAAUGCGUAGAGAUCUGAAGGAAUACCGGUGGCGAAGGCGGCCCCCCUGGACAGAUACUGACACUCAGAUGCGAAAGCGUGGGGAGCAAACA
RNAcentral lists this ribosomal RNA (459 nucleotides) under uncultured bacterium. RNAcentral describes it as "bacterial SSU rRNA". It matches the Rfam family "Bacterial small subunit ribosomal RNA", at positions 335 to 774 of the family's 1533-position model. The record is from RNAcentral.